GCGAGUUAGGUUGACGGGCGGAGCGGCUAAGAUGGCGGCGGCGGCGGCGGCGGAGACGGUGUCGGGGCGAGCGGUGACGAUAUGAAGAGAAGGAGUGGAUAACCGGCGGGCCGCUUCGUGUCUGCAAAUAACGACAAUAAAAUAAUAUUACUAAGAAGAAAAAGGAGGAGGAGGAGGAUCCCUCGGGGUUUUUUUUUCUCUUCAUCCCCCCCCACCCCUCCCCAGCCAAGUUUUUUAAAAAUAUAUAUAUAUUUUAAAUAAUUGAAAUAAGACAGUUACCAAGAAAAUAUAAAUGAUGAAAUUAAAGCAAGACCAGACUCGGACUUACGAUGGGGACGGUUACAAGAAGCGGGCGGCGUGUUUGUGCUUCAAGAACGAGAGUGAGGAGGAGGCACAUCUAAAAUUCAUGACUGCCACUUUACAAAAAAAUGAAGAAAACACAAUCAAGCAUGCAUUCAAAAUGAUGGACCUAGCUCUGUUGGGUGCAGUAGGCUAAGUUCUCUUGGUCAGCAGCAGUCGUCACCCAGACAAGUGGAUUGUGCCGGGCGGUGGCAUGGAACCUGAUGAGGAACCGAGUGUGGCAGCUGUCCGAGAAGUCUGUGAAGAAGCUGGAGUCAAAGGGACGUUAGGAAGAUUAGUAGGAAUAUUUGAGAAUCAAGACAGAAAGCAUAGAACAUAUGUGUAUGUUCUGGUAAUAACAGAAGUGUUAGAAGAUUGGGAGGAUUCGGUAAAUAUUGGGAGAAAAAGGGAAUGGUUUAAAAUAGAUGAUGCCAUUAAAGUUCUUCAGUGUCAUAAACCUGUACAGGCCUCAUACUUUGAAACCUUCAAACAAGGCUAUUUGGCAAAUAAUGGAACUCCUGUUGUUGCAACGUUAUCUGAAGAUAAGGCCUCAACAUAUGCUGUUGCCAAUCAAAGUUCAGUAUCCAGUAUUAGAUGACUGAGAAGAGCUUCACAGUAAUUGACUCAUCUCCAUCAAGCCCCAAAGGCAUGGACUUGAAAGGUGUUCAGUGAAAGAAUGUUUGAUCUGGUUUGAUUGCUACUAUACAUUGUAUAUGUAUAAAUAAAUUUUGCAUGAAGACCUGUGCAAUGUUGAUAACAAUACUUUAUAUUGUGAUGUAUAAUAUAGUGCUGAAGAUCAAAGCCAUAACUAGUAAGGUUUUUUUGUUAGAUAUUGUAUAUUUUUGAUAGAAUUGUGAAAUUAAGGUACCAGUGUUGCAUCCAAUUGUCUCCCUGGUAUUUUCCUUUGGAAUUCUUAAUUGUAAGGUGGCUUGGAUUUCAACCUAGGGAUAUUUGGAUGCCAAUUCUAGUUCUCUGCAACUUUUUGUAUACAGCUUUUGUAAAUUUUUGGCUGGCUUAUCACAUGCACCACUGCUGUUUACGGAAAAAAAAGGCAAAGAAACAGUUGAUCACUGACUUGUAAUACUUUGUGGAAUAACCUACAAGACACGCAUAAUACCUUUGUUAACUUGUACACAAGUUGUUGAAUAAGGCCUUUAAAACAUUUUUACUUAUGUACAACUACUUCAAGCCAUGCAUAUUGGGUCUUGUCAUCUGUGGAGCAUUGAAUUAUAUUCAAUUUUGCAGAAUACAUUUGUAUCUUUGACUCUUUCUCCUGAUCUGUGCUGUUCUCAUUGUUCUACACUGGAGUUAAAGGAUGCUCUUUGCAGGUAAUUCAAGAUAUAAACAAACUUGAGAAUUUGGUGUUUUGAAUUUUUUGAUUGUUUUUGUUAUUCUUGCAAUUUAAAAAUGACACUGUAUACUGCUUAAGCACUUAAACCGAUUGACUUUGUCUUCAAGUUCCUACUUUUGACAAAUGCAGAACAAAUUGCCCUACAUUUCUCUUUUUAAAAUAUAAGCAAGGUAAUUUUUUUUUCUCUGAGAAAUGUAGUCCUGUUUCUUUUGAAAUAAGUGCUCUAUAUUGAUCACUUUAAAAUUUGAUUUCUUUUAGGUUUUAUAUUUAAGUCAUGAAUAUAGAAACCCAGAAUUUCUUAAAGAUUAUCAUAGAAUGUUAUCCUGGUGUACAGUGUGGUGACUUAAACUGUUUGUAUCUUGUAGGCACAUACGAGAAAGGUACAUUGCUGGAGAAAAUAUCCACUUGUCAAUUUUGGAUGGGCUGCUUUCUUUUAAGAAAGACUCGUGGGUCAAAGUUAGGCUUGUCCUAUCAUCUGCCCCAGAUUCAGAGCGGUGUAAAUAUGCAUUCAUUACUUUUUUGCAUCCUUUCCCAAUCGCAUUCUUUUAACAUGUUGAAAGAAGAUUUGAAAGUUUAAAACCUUUUUACACAGGGUGACAAAGUAACCCAAUCCUCAGUCAAUGGUGAGGAUUUAAACAAAGUGGAGUAGCAUGCAUGAAUGAGUUUUCAGAGAAGCAUUGCCCUAUUCUCUAGUGUUCUUUAAAAGUGACAGGUGUCAUCAACUGCUUUAUUCUGCUUAAGUACAACCUGAAAAUGUGAGAAAUUAAGUUUCAGUCAAAGUAAAAUUGAAUAGUGAAUUAUACUUCUGACGAGCAAAUAUGAAAAUCUUGUUAAUAUGUAAAAAAAAGUGAAGAAACCAAUGGAAUCAGUUGAUUAUGACCACUUAAUGUUUUCAGCUUUUACCUGCAAUUAAUGCACUGUACAUAAAUGUGUCAUUUUUGGUGCUUUCCUGUAAAGCCUUAGAUGGAAGGGAUAAGUGCUGGCUUUUACAAUAGCCUGUAUUUGUAAGAACAUAGGGCAUGUUAUCCUGUCCUUCAUAUUUUAAUGCAACCUUUAUACUUCACCCGGAGAGAGUGUCACUGGAAAUGUCUUGUUGUUUUACCUGAUUUGAGUGUGAUGAUACACAUGUGAGGCAAGAGAUUGAAGAUUGUAAUAAACCUGUGCCAACGAAUAAAACUCACCAGUAUUUCAGAAA
Molecule: RNA transcript, 2885 nt
Organism: Amblyraja radiata (thorny skate)
Lineage: Eukaryota; Metazoa; Chordata; Chondrichthyes; Rajiformes; Rajidae
Gene name: diphosphoinositol polyphosphate phosphohydrolase 1
Exons: 6
Source: RefSeq, a predicted model, not a curated record